This 77-nucleotide transfer RNA is filed under the name Chitinophagaceae bacterium. RNAcentral's name for it is "tRNA-Met". It matches the Rfam family "tRNA". From Rfam's summary of the family: Transfer RNA (tRNA) molecules are approximately 80 nucleotides in length. Their secondary structure includes four short double-helical elements and three loops (D, anti-codon, and T loops). Lineage: Bacteria; Pseudomonadati; Bacteroidota; Chitinophagia; Chitinophagales; Chitinophagaceae. The record is from RNAcentral.
GGGCCUAUAGCUCAGCCGGUUAGAGCAUCUGACUCAUAAUCAGAGGGUCCCUGGUUCGAGCCCAGGUGGGCCCACAA